RNAcentral lists this ribosomal RNA (119 nucleotides) under Triticum aestivum (bread wheat). Lineage: Eukaryota; Viridiplantae; Streptophyta; Magnoliopsida; Poales; Poaceae. The record is from RNAcentral.
GGAUGCGAUCAUACCAGCACUAAAGCACCGGAUCCCAUCAGAACUCCGUAGUUAAGCGGGCUUUGGCGAGAGUAGUACUAGGAUGGGUGACCUCCUGGGAAGUCCUCGUGUUGCAUUCC